CGUGUAGGCGGGUUGGUAAGUCAGAUGUGAAAGCCCUGGGCUCAACCCAGGAAGUGCAUUUGAAACUGCCAUCCUUGAGUAUGGGAGGGGAGAGUGGAAUUCCCAGUGUAGAGGUGAAAUUCGUAGAUAUUGGGAGGAACACCCGUAGCGAAGGCGACUCUCUGGACCAAUACUGACGCUGAGACGCGAAAGCGUGGGUAGCAAACAGGAUUAGAUACCCUGGUAGUC
Molecule: ribosomal RNA, 228 nt
Filed under: uncultured bacterium
Lineage: Bacteria
Description: partial 16S ribosomal RNA
Rfam family: Bacterial small subunit ribosomal RNA
Source: RNAcentral